CAGCUUAAUUUUCUUUUAAAUUUUAAUUGCAUAAGUAACAUAUAUCUUUUAAAAUAAAAACAACAGUUUUAAAAUAAUAGAACAGCAAUUAGAUGGACUCAGAUAUUUUCAUAUCUUAAAUGAUGGUAAAUGCUGGGUUAUGGAAAUUCAUAUUCAUCAUGGAUUUUGUAUCUUGGAAAUUGGUAUAUUUGUCUUUGUGUAUUAAAUAUAACACACUUUAGUGGGUAUAUAAAAUAAAUUGAUUUGGUAAAUUCUUAUCAAUGAAACAAUUUUCCAUAAUCAUUAAUUAUUAUGGUAAAAUGUUUUUUAUGAAUUUCUGGUUCACUAUUAUAAUUUUCUCAUGCCAUCAGCCACAUAUAUGCAAAUGUCCUUGGGAAUCUCUGUAGUUUUCUAUCAUAGAGGAUAGAUAGCUCAAACUUUUUACUUUAAUGUCAUAUUUACUUAAAAAUACUAAGAAAUAUAGUAAUUAUUAUUUCUAAGCAUGCCAAAAUAUACUAUUCCUCAAUUAUUAUUAACAUACUGGACCAUACCCAGAGAAGAUA
RNAcentral lists this long non-coding RNA (542 nucleotides) under Bos taurus (domestic cattle). RNAcentral describes it as "long non-coding RNA NONBTAT011152". Lineage: Eukaryota; Metazoa; Chordata; Mammalia; Artiodactyla; Bovidae. The record is from RNAcentral.